GUUUCUCAGUGAGCUUGUGUAAGAUCAUUGGUCUCACCAGUUGCAGCCAACCCGCGGCGAACGAACACACUGUCCCCUCGGCGGGUCGUGGCGCCUCGCGGCGUCACGGCCGGCCACCUCCCUUCGCCAAUCGCCACGCGCGCGCGGCGUCGGGUUUCCACGAUGAAUCCACCCUAAGUGACUGAGUCCCGAAUUUGACUUCGUGAAGAGGAGUGAGCUCCGCCCCCUUCGUCGCUUCGACUGAGGGGUCGGCGCUGGUUACCUCGCGAGUUGAAACAGGUCAUAACACCAAAACAACUCUCAGCAACGGAUAUCUUGGCUCUUGCAACGAUGAAGAACGCAGCGAAAUGCGAUACGUAGUGUGAAUUGCAGAAUUCCGCGAAUCAUCGAGUCUUUGAACGCAAGUUGCGCCCGAGGCUUGUCCAAGGGCAUUUCCGCUAGAGCGUCACCGCGCCCCCCACCCCCCUUUCCCAAUCGGGAGUCGGGUCGAGUGAAAGUGGCCGUCCCGGUGGUGAGCCUCCUUGUCUUGCGAGAAGGACUUAGGCCUCACUUAGGGUCGGCUGAAAUGGAAGGAAUCGGGCCGCCGUGGCGACACAGUCCGCGAUCGGGUGAUCCGAGCUCCUCCGGGAGCCCGGAAUUUUUCUAAGUGUUGGCUGCGUCGCCCAGUUGGCUUUGUAUACCUCGUGCAGGUUGAGCGCGCCCCUUCAUGGGGCACGCGUCACGCAUCAGACCUCUAAUCGGAAAAGACCACCCGCUGAG
RNAcentral lists this ribosomal RNA (759 nucleotides) under Homomallium connexum. RNAcentral describes it as "eukaryotic LSU rRNA". The stretch from base 296 to 448 matches the Rfam family "5.8S ribosomal RNA". Lineage: Eukaryota; Viridiplantae; Streptophyta; Bryopsida; Hypnales; Pylaisiaceae. The record is from RNAcentral.